This 483-nucleotide ribosomal RNA is filed under the name Triticum aestivum (bread wheat). RNAcentral describes it as "partial small subunit ribosomal RNA". Lineage: Eukaryota; Viridiplantae; Streptophyta; Magnoliopsida; Poales; Poaceae. The record is from RNAcentral.
GUCGAGCGGGAGGACUGCCAGGAGGACGAGGAGGAGACCGGUGGGUCUCCCCUGUACCGCGACUGGCCGCCGGUGCCCAAGCGGCGGAGGACGGCCGUCUCGUUGUCGCCGCCGAGCUCCUCCGCGGAGCAUCACCACGGGAACGGAGGGGCAGCCUGUACGGAGGUUGCGGCUGCUCUGGAUAGGCUGGCGGGGACGUACGAGCAGGCUGAGGCGGCCAAGCAGAUGGAGGCGACACGGCUGGAGGACCGCCGCCUGGAGGCCAUGCGGGAGGUGGCAGCCAUGGAGAGGAGGGGAGGGGCUGCGAUGACUAACCACCGGGGAGAAGUCCAGUAUGCCGGAGGAGAUAGCCGGUGUCAAGGCGUCGGGCGGGGCGGCGUCUUGGGAGGAGUUGGCGCGGCGACUUGGGGAGGAGUCGCGGCAGCGUGUCUGAGUCGAGCGGCGGCGAGGAGUCGCGGCGGCGUGUCGAGUCGAGUCGGGUGA